AAUGGCUGUAGGCUUCAUUGAGUGCAGUGAUUCUUGAAACUGGAUAGAUCUUGCAGCAGUCCACACAGCUAUCUGGGAGCUUUCAUCCCAAUGCUGACAGCUCAUGUGCAAGGAGAUGAGAUCUAAAUCAGAUAGGUAUAGAGACCAUACUAGCUGAGAUGCUAAUGAAGCAAGGACUCCUGAAGAAGGGGAACUUGACACUGUGCUGCCCACAUGCUGUGCUUCUCUUCUGUAUUCGUAGUGAGUCUAGUGCCAAGUGUAGCCUGUGAUAGUCUUUGAUUUUUAAUAUUCUUUGAGCUUAAUGGGCACUGCAGUGGUUUAAUCAGGUCUUGGGAUCCCGACAGGUGUUUCCCCCAGGUCCAUUAGGAGUCUUCUGUUACUUUUAGAGAUCGUUUUUAUAGUGUAAUAUACUAAUUUUCCUUUAAUUUAGGCUCAGGUUUCUGGGACUUUUGGUCCUCCUCAGUUUGCAGAUUUCACAAGCAAAUUAUUUUACGUUUCUUCUCUACAGACUUUACCCCUUAUUUGGGAUGUGUGAAAAAUUUUUACAGGAAGUAGACUUUUUUCAGAGGUAUUUCAUCGCUGAUUUGCCCCACUUGCAGGACAGCUUUGUGGACAAACUCCUUGACCUUAUGCCCCGAUUCAUGACAUCCAAACCUGCAGAAGUGGUCAAAAUUCUACAGACCAUGCUGCGACAGAGUGCCUUUCUGCAUCUCCCACUUUCAGAGCAGGUCAGGGUCUAUUUGGCCCCUGUAGGCCAAAUCUGUCCAGACGGUCAAAAAUCUUUACCUUGGUGAUCUUUGACCAAUGGAGCAGCUGGGCUAGGCUCUUCCUCUGAGUGGCUCCCACAUGCCCACUCAUUAGAUAAGGAGACAGAAAAAAGAUGUGUUUUCUUGUCCAGGAAUGACCUGGCUUUAGAAUCAUAGGAUUUUCCUCUGGCUUACAGAUCCACAAAGCCUCAGCCACCAUCAUUGAGCCAGCAGGCGAGUCAGACAACCCUUUGCGGUUUACCUCUGGGUUGGUGGUUGCCCUGGAUGUUGAUGCAACCCUGGAGCAUGUGCAGGAUCCUCAGAACACUGUUAAGGUCCAGGUCUGUCGGGUUUGGGUCCUCGUGGAGCUUCUAGACUGACCUUGUGUUGAAGUAUUUAAUGUUAGUACCCCUGUAGUCUCUACUUGAGGGACAGAAACUGGGACAGGAGAAGAAAUGAGCCUCUGUGGGAAAGAACCUAGGCUUGAAUCUCAACUACUGCUGAGUGCGGUUUGGAGCAAGUUACUUUAAACUCUGAGUCUCAGAUUCUACAACUGACAAAUAGGAGGAGUUGACAUAAAGAGAUAAUGUAUUUAAAGCCCCCAGGACCCAGUAAGGGUUCAGUAAAUGAUAAGACCUUUUCUAAUCUUGUAAUGUGACGUUAAGAUUUGGUCUUUUGUUACAGAAAACUAUAAUAAACAAGUUCCUUUCAGGCUGUGAGUCAGUCAGCUGGCAGAUAAAAUUUCUGGAUGGGAAAAAGCGAUUACUAGGAAAUAUUCUUUCCCAAGUUACAUAGAUGUAAUAGAGACACAUGAGAAAUGUAGUAGAGACACUAAUCAAUUCAGACAGUGCAGUUAAGCCCCACAAAGAGUACUACUCCUUCAUUCAUCCAUCUGUCCACUCAUUCAUCCUUCCUUCCAUCCAUCUGUGCAAUCGUGUUUACUCUAUUGCAUGCACUAAGUGCUGUGGUUGCCAAGGUAAAUAUGUCACAGUUCUUCCUCUCGGGGUGUGCACAGUUUCAUUGAGAGACAUACAAAUGGGCAGGCAAUUAUAAAACAGGGUUUGGUGAGUAGACAUGCACAGGAUGGGUCAUCUCCUAGACUGUCUCCUAAAAAACCCUUUCAAAGCACCUCUACCACAUGCAGGGCUAAACCUUUUAGAGUAUUCAAUUUGGAGUGUGGUGGAGGCUCAGGAAAGGAAAGGAGAAGGGCACAAGGGAUAUGAGAGAAGGGCACAAGGGAUAUGAGUCAAAGCAGGGAUGCAAGCACUGGCAGGAAGUACAAUAAGGGGACAGAAAAAUAGGCUGGAACAGGCAGAGAAGGCUUCCUGGAGGAGGUAAGGAUGAAUCAGGCCUUGAAGAUUACGCUUUUCGGCUAUGGUGACAAUAAAGGAACGGGCCUUCUGGCUUCCAAGCAGUAAUUAUUAUAAAUUAUGAGACCUGC
RNAcentral lists this long non-coding RNA (2187 nucleotides) under Pan troglodytes (chimpanzee). Its description in RNAcentral is "long non-coding RNA NONPTRT015664". Lineage: Eukaryota; Metazoa; Chordata; Mammalia; Primates; Hominidae. The record is from RNAcentral.